This 496-nucleotide ribosomal RNA is filed under the name uncultured bacterium. RNAcentral's name for it is "partial 16S ribosomal RNA". It matches the Rfam family "Bacterial small subunit ribosomal RNA", at positions 28 to 506 of the family's 1533-position model. The record is from RNAcentral.
GAUGAACGCUGGCGGCGUGCCUAAUACAUGCCAGUCGAGCGAACGGACGAGAAGCUUGCUUCUCUGAUGUUAGCGGCGGACGGGUGAGUAACACGUGGAUAACCUACCUAUAAGACUGGGAUAACUUCGGGAAACCGGAGCUAAUACCGGAUGAUAUUUUGAACCGCAUGGUUCAAAAGUGAAAGACGGUCUUGCUGUCACUUAUAGAUGGAUCCGCGCUGCAUUAGCUAGUUGGUAAGGUAAUGGCUUACCAAGGCAACGAUGCAUAGCCGACCUGAGAGGGUGAUCGGCCACACUGGAACUGAGACACGGUCCAGACUCCUACGGGAGGCAGCAGUAGGGAAUCUUCCGCAAUGGGCGAAAGCCUGACGGAGCAACGCCGCGUGAGUGAUGAAGGUCUUCGGAUCGUAAAACUCUGUUAUUAGGGAAGAACAUAUGUGUAAGUAACUGUGCACAUCUUGACGGUACCUAAGCAGAAAGCCACGGCUAACUACGU